AGAGUUUGAUCAUGGCUCAGGAUGAACGCUGGCGGCGUGCCUAAUACAUGCAAGUCGAACGGAGUAGAAAUACUGAGUGGCGACCGGGUGCGUAACACGUAGCUGACCUGCCCCCGAGCGGGGGAUAACACCUCGAAAGAGGUGCUAAUACCGCAUGACGUGGCGAAGACUAAAGAUUUGCCACUAAACUUCCGGGGCUUGGGGAGGGGGCUGCGGCCCAUCAGGUAGUUGGUGUGGUAACGGCACACCAAGCCAACGACGGGUAGGGGUCCUGAGAGGGAGGUCCCCCACACUGGGACAGACAUACGGCCCAGACUCCUACGGGAGGCAGCAGUAAGGGAUAUUGGUCAAUGGGGGCAACCCUGAACCAGCAACGCCGCGUGGAGGAUGAAGGCUUUCGGGUCGUAAACUCCUUUUGGUGGGGAAGAGACAGGACAGUACCCACAGAAAAAGUCACGGCUAACUACGUGCCAGCCGCCGCGGUAAUUC
Molecule: ribosomal RNA, 489 nt
Filed under: uncultured bacterium
Lineage: Bacteria
Description: bacterial SSU rRNA
Rfam family: Bacterial small subunit ribosomal RNA
Source: RNAcentral